RNAcentral lists this ribosomal RNA (519 nucleotides) under uncultured bacterium. RNAcentral's name for it is "bacterial SSU rRNA". It matches the Rfam family "Bacterial small subunit ribosomal RNA", at positions 18 to 518 of the family's 1533-position model. The record is from RNAcentral.
CCUGGCUUAGGAUGAACGCUGGCGGCGUGCUUAACACAUGCAAGUCGAACGAAGCACCUCUAAUCGAAGAUUGAGAAAGCUUGCUUUGAUUGAUUCACCUUGAGGUGACUGAGUGGCGGACGGGUGAGUAACGCGUGGGUAACCUACCCUAUACAGGGGGAUAACAGUUGGAAACGACUGCUAAUACCGCAUAAGCGCACAGGACCGCAUGGUCUAGUGUGAAAAACUCCGGUGGUAUAGGAUGGACCCGCGUCUGAUUAGCUAGUUGGUGAGGUAACGGCUCACCAAGGCGACGAUCAGUAGCCGACCUGAGAGGGUGACCGGCCACAUUGGGACUGAGGCACGGCCCAAACUCCUACGGGAGGCAGCAGUGGGGAAUAUUGCACAAUGGGCGAAAGCCUGAUGCCAGCGACGCCGCGUGAACGAAGAAGUAUUUCGGUAUGUAAAGUUCUAUCAGCAGGGAAGAAAAAUGACGGUACCUGACUAAGAAGCUCCGGCUAAAUACGUGCCAGCAGCUGC